UUGUCUCGGUUUCCAAGGGCGCGGGGUGCUCUUUGACCCGCGCCCGGGGCGGAGGUGGUGGCAUGGAGCCCAGCGCACCCUGGCAGGUCCCGGAGGGAGAGGGGCGCCCGGGACGCGCGCCAGCUGUUCCCAGAGCAAGCCGGGGCCAAUGAGGGGCGCUCCGGGGCCCGCUGCCCGUGACCACCUCGUUGUGGACCCCGCUUAGCUUCCUCGAGAAGUCCGGAAGGCGAGGGGGCAGUGCUACGCAGGAUUCCCCACAGAACCGAUGCGCUCUCGAUGCCCCUUUCUCCUCCCAUUUUCUGUGUUUCAUCCUCUAUUCAACAACUUUUAAAAAUGGUAUCUACAAGUACUACUUCUAGAUUUUUCCCGUCUCUUAACUGUCCACUGUCA
Molecule: long non-coding RNA, 390 nt
Filed under: Rattus norvegicus (Norway rat)
Lineage: Eukaryota; Metazoa; Chordata; Mammalia; Rodentia; Muridae
Description: long non-coding RNA NONRATT021073
Source: RNAcentral